RNAcentral lists this unclassified non-coding RNA (235 nucleotides) under plant metagenome. RNAcentral describes it as "partial contains small subunit ribosomal RNA, internal transcribed spacer 1, and 5.8S ribosomal RNA". The record is from RNAcentral.
UCUCCGUUGGUGAACCAGCGGAGGGAUCAUUACCGAAGUUACCUUCAAAACCCACCGUGAACCUUACCUCUUGCCGCGUUGUCUCGGCGGGAGGCGGUGUGCGUCGCGCGCCCUAGCGGGCCGUGCCGCUCCCGUCCCCGCCGGCAGCGCCAAACUCUAAAUGCACAGCGGACUGUACGUUCUGAUUUACAAAAAAAACAAGUUAAAACUUUCAACAACGGAUCUCUUGGUUCUG